AUUGAACGCUGGCGGCAUGCCUUACACAUGCAAGUCGAACGGUAACAGGUCUUCGGAUGCUGACGAGUGGCGAACGGGUGAGUAAUACAUCGGAACGUGCCUAGUAGUGGGGGAUAACUACUCGAAAGAGUGGCUAAUACCGCAUGAGAUCUACGGAUGAAAGCAGGGGAUCGCAAGACCUUGUGCUACUAGAGCGGCCGAUGGCAGAUUAGGUAGUUGGUGGGAUAAAAGCUUACCAAGCCGACGAUCUGUAGCUGGUCUGAGAGGACGAUCAGCCACACUGGGACUGAGACACGGUCCAGACUCCUACGGGAGGCAGCAGUGGGGAAUAUUGCACAAUGGGGGAAAGCCUGACGCAGCGACGCCGCGUGGAGGAUGAAGGUCUUAGGAUUGUAAACUCCUGUCAGGUGGGAAGAAAAGCUUAUUUCUAAUAAAUAUAGGUAAUGACUGUACCAUCAGAGGAAGCACUGGCUAACCUCGUGCCAGCAGCCGCGGUAA
Molecule: ribosomal RNA, 498 nt
Filed under: uncultured bacterium
Lineage: Bacteria
Description: partial 16S ribosomal RNA
Rfam family: Bacterial small subunit ribosomal RNA
Source: RNAcentral